This 227-nucleotide long non-coding RNA is filed under the name Elaeis guineensis (African oil palm). RNAcentral's name for it is "long non-coding RNA (EGUI_LNC009141)". Lineage: Eukaryota; Viridiplantae; Streptophyta; Magnoliopsida; Arecales; Arecaceae. The record is from RNAcentral.
GUGAAGCCUAAGAAUCUAAUAUAUGUACAAGCUAUUAACGAUGUGCAAAUACCUUUUAUCCUUAUGUAAUUAAGAAGAAACUUUCCAUGUUGCAUCAAACAAUGAUCCUAUCCACAAGAUUUCAGUUUUCGUAUGUGCACAGUUAUCCUUCUCCAUAGGCUCUCUUUAUUUUGUAGAUCACUUAGGUUGGAGCACCAUGUGCCCAAAGGCCCACCUGCUAAAGCUGC